This 85-nucleotide transfer RNA is filed under the name Sphingobium xenophagum. Its description in RNAcentral is "tRNA-Lys". It matches the Rfam family "tRNA". From Rfam's summary of the family: Transfer RNA (tRNA) molecules are approximately 80 nucleotides in length. Their secondary structure includes four short double-helical elements and three loops (D, anti-codon, and T loops). The record is from RNAcentral. Lineage: Bacteria; Pseudomonadati; Pseudomonadota; Alphaproteobacteria; Sphingomonadales; Sphingobiaceae.
GGGUCCAUAACCCGCAGGAGGCUUAUUGGCGACCAGCUAACUUUUAAUCAGUAGGUCGCUGGUUCGAACCCAGCUGGACUCACCA